Long non-coding RNA from Oncorhynchus nerka (sockeye salmon), 312 nucleotides. RefSeq lists it as uncharacterized. NCBI's taxonomy places the organism in Eukaryota, Metazoa, Chordata, Actinopteri, Salmoniformes, Salmonidae. The record is from RefSeq and is a predicted model, not a curated record. The transcript is spliced from 3 exons.
UUAACACUGUGUGUUCCAGGUGGUUCUCUGCGGGGGUUUAACACUGUGUUCCAGGUGGUUCUCUGCGGGGGGUUUAACACACUGUGUUCCAGGUGGUUCUCUGCGGGGGGUUUAACACUGUGUGUUCCAGGUGGUUCUCUGCGGGGGGUUUAACACUGUGUUCCAGGUGGUUCUCUGCGGGGGGUUUAACACACUGUGUUCCAGGUGGUUCUCUGCGGGGGGUUUAACACUGUGUGUUCCAGGUGGUUCUCUGCGGGGGGUUUAACACACUGUGUUCCAGGUGGUUCUCUGCGGGGGGUUUAACACUGUGUG